GACGAACGCUGGCGGCGUGCUUAACACAUGCAAGUCGAACGAAGUGGCGAACGGGUGAGUAACGCGUAAACAACCUGACCUUCAGAGGGGGACAACAGUUGGAAACGACUGCUAAUACCGCAUACGGAAGGAGGGGAUUGCGUGUGAUUAGCUAGUUGGAGGGGUAACGGCUCACCAAGGCGCUGAUCAGUAGCCGGUCGGGGAGGAGGAACGGACACAUCUGGACUGGGACCCGGCCCAGACUCCUACGGGAGGCAGCAGUGGGGAAUCUUCCGGAAUGGACGGAAGGCUGACGAGGCAACGCCGCGUGAGUGGUGACGGCCUUCGGGUUGUAAAGCUCUGUUAAUCGGGACGCGGUACCGGAAUAGAAAGCCACGGCUAACUACGUGCCAGCCGCCGCGGUAAUAC
This 408-nucleotide ribosomal RNA is filed under the name uncultured bacterium. Its description in RNAcentral is "partial 16S ribosomal RNA". It matches the Rfam family "Bacterial small subunit ribosomal RNA", at positions 28 to 526 of the family's 1533-position model. The record is from RNAcentral.